CCGCCGUUCCCUUCGGUCAGUCAGUUGUCCCCUCCCCCGCUUCCCUUUCCUUCUCGGAAGAGACGGGCAGACGACCAUGUCCAUGGAGGACGACGCCUCGAAGAUCAGCGACUGGGAGGUGCUCUCUGCCACCUCUUCCCGCGGGGGCGGCGACGACGAUGAGGUAUUAACUGUCUCCGGCGGGGGCGGUGACGUCGUCCUCCUUGACCACUUCGUCCUCACCCCCGACCCCGCAGCCUCCUGUCCCGGCGACGGCGAGGGCUCGUGGUCGGACGACCGGGGCGCCUGGCAAGGGUUAGAAUUAUUGGAUGGAUUCGAUCCGAUUCCGGAAGCAAGUUUCGAUCUUGCAGUUGGUGUUAGGAGCCAACAACUGCUGAUAAGCGACGUGGAUGACGCCCGCGAAGAAGGCUCGAUUGUUCAAGCCACCGUGGCGCGCGGUGCGACCCGUAGCGCAGAAGGAAAUCAAGAUGAUGUGGUAGAGGUCGAGAUUGAGCAGGAGAGCAGUUCCGUGAUUAGCCGCGGUGCAUUGUGCCCGGUGCUGCAGGUGGCGGCGGAUCAUGGCGUGGAAGAAACUCUGGAUUCUGAGGCAGUUACACCUACAGGUGGCUCGCUCCAAAGCCAGGUAUCAGAGAGUUCCCUUGUGCAACUGGAUGAUGGAGGAAUUGGUGCUGGUGAAAAAAGAUCAUGCCUUGAGGAUGCUGUGUCAAGUGAUGAGAUUCAUGGUGAACAAGAAGAGCAGGAGCAAGGGAGCAACGCUAAUGCUGCCAUUGGUUGCGAUGAACCAGAUGGAGAGGCCAAGGAUGAUGCUUUGCCACUGGCUCACACGCCAGGUACUGAAGAGGGAGAGAAGUAAUUUGUUGCCUGGUGGAGGCUGCCAUUCAAGCUGAUGCACUACAAUGCUUGGAAGGUGAAGCCAGUAUGGUCCUUCUCCGUCGCAGCGGCACUUCUCGGCCUGGUCGUGCUGGGGAGGAAGAUGUACAGGAUGAAGCACAAGGCAAGGGGCUUGCCCCAGAUUAAGAUUGCGUUUGAUGAUAAGAGGGCCUCCCAGUUUGCUGAUCGCGCGGCGCGUCUCAACGAAGCCUUCCUGGUAGCGAGACGUGUACCUAUGCUAAGAACAUCAUCUGGUGGUGCGACGCUUCCAUGGUCAAUGGUUCAGGACAGAUGAGUGAAGCUGCUCAGAGUCAGGGCACCGUAAGAAGGCUCCCGCAAGCAAUAUUCUGGAUGGUGAACGAGCAUCUGAAUUGGCUUUUGCCUAUACCUUCUGUUUUUAGAUGACGCGUCAAGGUGGAUGCCAAUGUUGAUGGCAGUGGUCUCUCUUUCUCUUCUUUUUUUUUUCACUUAGUUUUUUCUUUUUUAAGGAACCACUUAUUGUGCUCCUGAUUUCCUUUUUUUUAAUUUUUUUGCCCCUACUCUGUUUUUUCUAACCUCUACAUCUAGUUCUAGCGGGAGUGGGUGUCUGCAGCCUUGUAUUCAGUAUGCUCCAGCUUGAAAGCUCAUCUGAAGUGUUGUUUCAUCUCAGCUGGUUCACAGGCCCUACUGGGUGCGCAACAUUUUCUGUAUGCUGCAGCUUGAAUGCCUACAGUAUUGUGUAAUCAGAUCUGUGUUGGUCCCCUGCUGUCUGUUACUAUGCAUAGAUCAUCUGGGUGCUCUCAAGGUGUUAAGAAAGCAAGGAUUGGUGCUCGUAUGUAAGGCCGUAACAGAGUUGUGAACUGAACUUUUUGGUUUACAUUGAACAGAACUGAGCAGCCCUUGGUGG
Zea mays is the source of this 1756-nucleotide RNA transcript. It is a transcript of the gene named protein-like pseudogene, with no coding region annotated. The record is from RefSeq and is marked validated. Lineage: Eukaryota; Viridiplantae; Streptophyta; Magnoliopsida; Poales; Poaceae. The transcript is spliced from 2 exons.